GACGAACGCUGGCGGCGCGCCUAACACAUGCAAGUCGAGCGAGAACCAGGACUUCGGUCCUGGGGAGAGCGGCGAACGGGUGCGUAACACGUGAGCAACCUGCCCCGAAGACCGGGACAACCGAUGGAAACGUCGGCUAAUACCGGAUGCCCUCACCGGAUCGCAUGGUCUGGUGAGGAAAUGGAUUCCGCUUCGGGAUGGGCUCGCGGUCUAUCAGCUUGUUGGUGGGGUAACGGCCCACCAAGGCGACGACGGAUAGCUGGUCUGAGAGGACGAUCAGCCACACUGGGACUGAGACACGGCCCAGACUCCUACGGGAGGCAG
This 324-nucleotide ribosomal RNA is filed under the name uncultured Actinomycetes bacterium. Its description in RNAcentral is "bacterial SSU rRNA". It matches the Rfam family "Bacterial small subunit ribosomal RNA", at positions 28 to 351 of the family's 1533-position model. Lineage: Bacteria; Bacillati; Actinomycetota; Actinomycetes. The record is from RNAcentral.